GACGUAGGUGGCGAACGUUAUCCGGAAUUAUUGGGCGUAAAGGGUGCGUAGGCGGCAUGAUAAGUUAUUGGCGGUAAAUCGAGGCUCAACCUCGUGGAAACUGAUAAUACUGUUUUGCUUGAGUACAGGAGAGGUUAACGGAACUCCAUGUGGAGCGGUAAAAUGUGUAGAUAUAUGGAGGAACACCAGUGGCGAAGGCGGCUCUUUGGUCUGUAACUGACGCUGAGGCGCGAAAGCGUGGGGAGCGAACAGG
RNAcentral lists this ribosomal RNA (253 nucleotides) under uncultured bacterium. Its description in RNAcentral is "partial 16S ribosomal RNA". It matches the Rfam family "Bacterial small subunit ribosomal RNA", at positions 524 to 776 of the family's 1533-position model. The record is from RNAcentral.